Molecule: ribosomal RNA, 454 nt
Filed under: uncultured bacterium
Lineage: Bacteria
Description: partial 16S ribosomal RNA
Rfam family: Bacterial small subunit ribosomal RNA
Source: RNAcentral
GAUGAACGCUGACAGAAUGCUUAACACAUGCAAGUCAACUUGAACUUCGGUUUGGGUGGCGGACGGGUGAGUAACGCGUAAAGAACUUGCCUCACAGCUAGGGACAACAUUUGGAAACGAAUGCUAAUACCUGAUAUUAUGAUUAUAUGGCAUCGUAUAAUUAUGAAAGCUAUAUGCGCUGUGAGAGAGCUUUGCGUCCCAUUAGCUAGUUGGAGAGGUAACAGCUCACCAAGGCGAUGAUGGGUAGCCGGCCUGAGAGGGUGAUCGGCCACAAGGGGACUGAGACACGGCCCUUACUCCUACGGGAGGCAGCAGUGGGGAAUAUUGGACAAUGGACCGAGAGUCUGAUCCAGCAAUUCUGUGUGUACGAUGAAGUUUUUCGGAAUGUAAAGUGCUUUCAGUUGGGAAGAAAAAAAUGACGGUACCAACAGAAGAAGUGACGGCUAAAUACGUG